Canis lupus familiaris (dog) is the source of this 1407-nucleotide long non-coding RNA. RefSeq lists it as uncharacterized. The transcript is spliced from 3 exons. NCBI's taxonomy places the organism in Eukaryota, Metazoa, Chordata, Mammalia, Carnivora, Canidae. The record is from RefSeq and is a predicted model, not a curated record.
CCGGGCACUGAGACAGGCAAUCGUCUCAAAUGGGAGGAUGCCUGCCCUCUACUGGCCACAGGCCGCUCUGGCCUCCAGCUGCCUCCCUUAACCUAAGAAGAAGGAAGAAGUAGAACAGAAGGCAGGGACAGGAGGACUUGUCCCAGAGGAUGAGGGCUAUAGAGGGAAGAAGGAGGAGGAAGGAAGUGUCCUGUGGAACUGGCAAACAGAGAAAGGCUUCCAGGCAGAAGAGGAAAAUGCAUGGAUUGUUUCAAGCAAGAUCACCUGCCUUUGGGGAAGGAAAGAGAUCUAUCAGCAUCAGCCUCAUGUGGGAGAUGCCAGUCAGACUUGCAGACUUUCAAGCCCCGUCCUAGAUCUACUUAACCAGAAUCAGCAGUUUCACAUGAUCCCCAGGUGAAUCUUAUGAACAUAAAAGUUGGAGAAGCACUGUCAUAGAAGAUGAUUUUCAGCCAAAGAUGAAUAGAAAAACUAGUGACUACGCCAGCAACAAAGUCAGUGGUUUUGUACUGAAUGCAUUUAAAUGUACAGCAGAGACAAAAACAACUGCAGGAUUUAUGGCUCCAGGACACAGAUUUAGAAAUAAUUUUAAAAACUGGCUUCAGAAGUGGUGGAAGAGAAUACAAAUAUGCUGACUUUCUCAUCUUUCCCAGCAGAAGAGUAAAUAGAUACUAGUCUAAGCUAAUAAGUAAUAAAGAUAUACUUAAGGGAAUAAGACAGGAUGGCAUAGCAAAAACAGUCAGUUAAGUAACUGAAUGCAUAGAAAAUGCUAAAUGCAAGGAUGCCCCCUACUUCCCCAACCCCAGCUCAGGGCCUGGUGGUGAUGGCAGCCACACCCCUCCCUCUAGGCAGGAGAUUGGAGGGCUUUUUCCUGGAAAAUCUGACCCCCAGCAAAUGGCUCACAUCAUCACCCACUGUGGAGCUCCCAUUACGUUUCCCUAGUCCCCAGUUGUUUUGUUUUUUAAAGAUUCUUACCCUUUUUUAAAGAUUUUAUUUAUUUAGUCAUGAGGGACACAGAGAAAGAGGCAGAGACAUAGGAAGAGGGGAAAGCAGGCUCCCUGCUAGGAGUCUGAUGCAGGAUUCUAUCCCAGGACCUCGGGAUCACGACCUGAGUUGAAGAUAGAUGCUCAACCACUGAGCCAUCCAGGCAUCCCUUAUAGCCUCCAGUUUUAAUCAUAAACAAUGAACAAGGAACCAGGAGUUGCCAGACAUCUGAGAAAAAUGUCUAACACAUUGAAGCAAAAGAGAAAAAAAAUCAAUGUGGAGGUAAUAGACACUAUAGGAAAUAGAUGCUAUUCAGGGAAAGAACAUUUUAUGUAUGUGUUAGAACUCUUCAAAUUAGGGGCAUCUGGGUAGCUCAGUUGGCUAAGUGUCUACCCAGAGUCCUGGGAUCGAGUCCCACAUCGGGCU